GAUGAACGCUGGCGGCGUGCCUAAUACAUGCAAGUCGAGCGAACGGACGAGAAGCUUGCUUCUCUGAUGUUAGCGGCGGACGGGUGAGUAACACGUGGAUAACCUACCUAUAAGACUGGGAUAACUUCGGGAAACCGGAGCUAAUACCGGAUAAUAUUUUGAACCGCAUGGUUCAAAAGUAAAAGACGGUCUUGCUGUCACUUAUAGAUGGAUCCGCGCUGCAUUAGCUAGUUGGUAGGGUAACGGCUUACCAAGGCAACGAUGCAUAGCCGACCUGAGAGGGUGAUCGGCCACACUGGAACUGAGACACGGUCCAGACUCCUACGGGAGGCAGCAGUAGGGAAUCUUCCGCAAUGGGCGAAAGCCUGACGGAGCAACGCCGCGUGAGUGAUGAAGGUCUUCGGAUCGUAAAACUCUGUUAUUAGGGAAGAACAUAUGUGUAAGUAACUGUGCACAUCUUGACGGUACCUAAUCAGAAAGCCACGGCUAACUACGUG
This 497-nucleotide ribosomal RNA is filed under the name uncultured bacterium. RNAcentral describes it as "partial 16S ribosomal RNA". It matches the Rfam family "Bacterial small subunit ribosomal RNA", at positions 28 to 507 of the family's 1533-position model. The record is from RNAcentral.